This 214-nucleotide ribosomal RNA is filed under the name uncultured fungus. Its description in RNAcentral is "partial small subunit ribosomal RNA". The stretch from base 34 to 214 matches the Rfam family "Eukaryotic small subunit ribosomal RNA", at positions 681 to 864 of the family's 1831-position model. The record is from RNAcentral. Lineage: Eukaryota; Fungi.
GGUUUGCUUAUGGCGUAUUUUCAUUAGAAAAGACGCUUCCUGCAUUCCUAUCCUUCUGGUUAAUUUUUGUGCCAUUUAUUUGGUGCAUUAAGGAUCCAGGACUUUUACUUUGAAAAAAUUAGAGUGUUUAAAGCAGGCUUACGCUUGAAUACAUUAGCAUGGAAUAAUAAAAUAGGACUUUGGUUUUAUUUUGUUGGUUUCUAAGACUAAAGUA